UAUAGAACACUCAUAUCGAUAAAAUAGUUUGAACUAUUUACUAGAAGGGCACGCAGCCCUUUUUCCAAUGCCAAAUCGACGACCUAUGUAUAAAAAAAAGAGAAAUUUUUUGGAUUUGAAGAAAAAAUAAAAGGAAUUCUAUCAAUUUUUAUUUUCCAUUUAUUUAGUUAGUUUUUCUUAAUGAAAUUGAAAUUAUUAACUAACAGAGCAAACACAAAUAAAGAAACAACUUUGCUGACCAUGAUAGAUUUUUAUCUAGUUGGAAGAGUCCUCUUAAUAUUCAUCUAGUCUUAUAUAAGUUUGGGUAUAUAGAAAUACAAACAGAAAAGAGAGGAUAGAGGAUAGGCUCAUUACAUAAAAAAAAGAUAUGGAAAUAGCCAUAAUACAUAACAAAAAAGAAAAAAAGGAGCGGGAGAGCCAAAUGAAUCGAAAGAUUCAUGUUUGGUUCGGGAAGAGAUCAUAAAAAUUGUAAACUUAAUAGCAAGAUAAUCUACUUUCAUUAAAAGAUUUAUUAGAUAAUCGAAAACAGAGGAUUUUAAGUACUAUUCGAAAUUCGGAAGAAUUGCGUAAAGGGACCCUUGAACAACUCGAAAAAGCUCGUAUUCGAUUACAGAAAGUCGAACUGGAAGCAGAUGAGUAUCGAAUGAAUGGAUACUCUGAAAUAGAACGAGAAAAAGAAAAUUUGAUUAAUGCUACUUCUAUUAGUUUGGAACAAUUAGAAAAGUCUAAAAACGAAACCCUUUAUUUUGAAAAACAAAGGGCGAUGAAUCAGGUCCGACAACGGGUUUUCCAACAAGCUGUACAAGGAGCUCUAGGAACUCUGAAUAGUUGUUUGAAUACCGAGUUACAUUUCCGUACGAUUCGUGCUAAUAUUGGCAUUCUCGGGGCCAUAGAAUGGAAGAGAUAAUUCAAUUUAUUAGGUUUUGAACUUCUACUUUUGUUUAGAAUUUAGGCAUUAUUUUUCCCUUGCUUC
Zea mays is the source of this 973-nucleotide RNA transcript. It is a transcript of the gene named ATP synthase CF0 B subunit pseudogene, with no coding region annotated. Lineage: Eukaryota; Viridiplantae; Streptophyta; Magnoliopsida; Poales; Poaceae. The record is from RefSeq and is marked validated. The transcript has a single exon.